This 406-nucleotide ribosomal RNA is filed under the name uncultured prokaryote. RNAcentral describes it as "bacterial SSU rRNA". It matches the Rfam family "Bacterial small subunit ribosomal RNA", at positions 355 to 776 of the family's 1533-position model. The record is from RNAcentral.
UGGGGAAUUUUCCGCAAUGGGCGCAAGCCUGACGGAGCAACGUCGCGUGAGGGAGGAAGGCCUGUGGGUUGUAAACUUCUUUUCUCUAGGAAGAAGGUCUGACGGUACUAGAGGAAUCAGCAUCGGCUAACUCCGUGCCAGCAGCCGCGGUAAGACGGAGGAUGCAAGCGUUAUCCGGAAUUAUUGGGCGUAAAGCGUUCGUAGGUGGUUUUGUAAGUCUGCUGUUAAAGCGUGUAGCUCAACUACAUAUAGGCAGUGGAAACUACAAAACUUGAGUGCGUUCGGGGCAGAGGGAAUUCCUAGUGUAGCGGUGAAAUGCGUAGAGAUUAGGAAGAACACCGGUGGCGAAAGCGCUCUGCUAGGCCGCAACUGACACUGAGGGACGAAAGCUAGGGGAGCGAAUGGG